GUCCACACCGUAAACGUUGGGCGCUAGGUGUGGGACUCAUUCCACGAGUUCCGUGCCGCAGCUAACGCAUUAAGCGCCCCGCCUGGGGAGUACGGCCGCAAGGCUAAAACUCAAAGGAAUUGACGGGGGCCCGCACAAGCGGCGGAGCAUGCGGAUUAAUUCGAUGCAACGCGAAGAACCUUACCUGGGUUUGACAUAUGGAGAAAUCUCCCAGAGAUGGGAGGUCCGUAAGGGCUCCAUACAGGUGGUGCAUGGCUGUCGU
This 262-nucleotide ribosomal RNA is filed under the name uncultured bacterium. RNAcentral's name for it is "partial 16S ribosomal RNA". It matches the Rfam family "Bacterial small subunit ribosomal RNA", at positions 793 to 1055 of the family's 1533-position model. The record is from RNAcentral.